GCGGACGGGUGCGUAACACGUAGCUACUUGCCCCACAGUGGGGGAUAACCCGGGGAAACCCGGGCUAAUACCGCAUACACCCGAGAGGGGAAAGCCGAAAGGCGCUGUGGGAUAGGGCUGCGGCGUAUCAGGUAGUUGGUGGGGUAACGGCCUACCAAGCCGAUGACGCGUAGCUGGUCUGAGAGGAUGAUCAGCCACACUGGAACUGAGACACGGUCCAGACUCCUACGGGAGGCAGCAGUGGGGAAUCUUGGGCAAUGGGGGAAACCCUGACCCAGCAACGCCGCGUGGAGGAAGACGCCCUUCGGGGUGUAAACUCCUUUUGCAGGGGAAGAGAGGGACGGUACCCUGCGAAUAAGCUCCGGCUAACUCCGUGCCAGCAGCCGCGGUAAUACGGGGGGAGCUAGCGUUACUCGGAAUCACUGGGCGUAAAGGGUGCGUAGGCGGCUUAGUAAGUUGGGAGUGAAAUCCCACGGCUCAACCGUGGAACUGCUUCCAAAACUGCUAAGCUAGAGUCCGGGAGGGGCCGAGGGAAUUCCUGGUGUAGGGGUGAAAUCCGUANAGAUCAGGAGGAAUG
This 577-nucleotide ribosomal RNA is filed under the name uncultured bacterium. RNAcentral's name for it is "bacterial SSU rRNA". It matches the Rfam family "Bacterial small subunit ribosomal RNA", at positions 98 to 708 of the family's 1533-position model. The record is from RNAcentral.